AAGGGCACGGGUUGGGACGGAUUUGGUGGCGUCUCUGUGCCGUCACUCACCCUCUUCUCCAAACAAGGUGCUCCUGGAACACCAGGCCCGUCAGGUGGCAGAUGUUCCCUCUUUUGGGCACUGAUGAAAACCUGCAAAUAACACAAAUGGUCAUUUAAUGGAAAGGUAAUGCUUCAGGAAAUGUCACUUGGGAUUUGGCCACAGAUCAAACACAAAGGACUCUGACAAAAUGUUUAGACAAGUGGGGCCUGCAUUUUUGGCAGGCAGGGCUGCAAGUUAGCCCUGGAUUCUCCCUGAGUGCCACAUUGAUUCCCCUUCCCUUGCCCCAUCUCUUGCUCUGCUUUCUGCUUCCUGCCCUAUGCCGUGGUCCAGCUUGUCCCCUCCCUGAUCUGCCACGUGCCACAUGUAGCAGCUGCCCACGCCACUCGUGGCAGCUGUGUUGUGGGUUGGCCACCCCCGGUUUAGACCAUCACAGAUGAGUGAAGAUGGAGUUAUACCUCUCACUGCAGCCUGCAGCUUGUUACUUCUAGGGAAGUGACGUCCCGUAUAGUGCACGGCCUUUCCAGGAACGCAGCUAGAUUUCCAUGCUCCGGUCCAUCGCCUGCAGAAGUGACCCCGGGCAGUGCAAGCAGUCACCUAUGGCAGUAAAGUGUUUUGUCCAAAAUGUUGAAAAGUGGCCUCUGAUUUUAGUCUAAGAGGAGAUAUCCUGGACCCAGGUCUCCGUGUGAGCACCCAGAGCUUCUGCUGACUCCAGGUGAACUAAUAUACAACCUGGGGCGGAGGAAGAAAAGUCCCCCAAAUGCAAGCCAUGUUUAAAUAAACAGGGGGGAGCUGACACCUAGGGCCUGCUACAAAUGCCCCUCUUGCCUAUGAGUCAAUAACAUUUUCUUCAUGGCUUCAAGAAGAAGCCCUCACAUCCAGUCAAAUAAAAAUAAAGAGAGAUACAGAUACUGAAGGGGACUCGGAGGAGCAGUUCUGGAGAAAACCAGAGGAAUACUGUACUCAGCUUCCUAGAUUUCAUAGACAUGAGGGCCGGAAGGGACCUCGGGAGAUCAUCGGGUCCAGCCCCCGCCCCAGGGGCAGUAAGUCAGCUGGGGUCACAGGAUCCCAGCAAGAUAAACGUCCAAUUGACUCUUCAAGGAGUCCAGAGGAGGUAGGUGCCUGCACCACCUCCGGCGGCUGUCUGUUCCAGGCCUUGGGGGCUCGGACAGGAAAGAAGUUGUUCCUCGUGUCCAGCCUGAAACGGUCUUGGAGGGGUUUAUGACCAUUAGACCUUGUCAUCCCUUGGGGCGCUCUGGUGAGCAAGCGUUCCCCCAGAUCCUGGUGCACACCCUCAUGUACUGAGAGGCAGCCACCAGGUCCCCCUGAGCCUGUGCUCCUCCAGGCUGAAGAGCCCCAUGGCUCUCAACCUCUCUUCAUAAGGCCUGUUCUCCUGCCCUCUGAUCAUGCGCGUGGCUCUCCUCUGCACUCUCUCAAGCUUCUCCACAUCCUUCUUGAAUUGUGGAGCCCAAAACUGGAUGCAGUACUCCAGCUGCGGCCUCACCAAGGCUGAGUACAGCCGGAGGAUGAUAUCCUGGGUCUUGCUCGAGAUGCGUCGGUAGAUGCAAGCCAGGGUUUUGUUCGCUUUGCCAGGUGCAGCAUCGCAUCCAUGGAUCAUAUUCAUCUUGUGGUCAAUCCUGCCCACUAAGUCUCUUUCGGUCAUGGUGCUACCGAGUGUAACAUUGCCAAGCCUAUAAGUGUGAUGCAGGUUUUUUUCCCAAAGUGGAGCACCUUGCAUUUCUCCAUAUUGAAUGCCAUCAGGUUUUCAUCUGCCCACCUUGCAAGCCUAUCAAGGUCGUCCUGGAUCACCAGCCUAUCCUCAAGUGUGGACACUUCCCCAGAGUUUGGUGUCAUCAGCAAACCUGGCCGGUCCAGUUUUGACACCUGUGUCCAGAUUGUUAAUGAAGACAUUCAAGAGUACAGGUCCGAGAAUGGAGCCGUGGGGGCCCCACUGGUCACCGAGCGCCCCGUUGAUUCGGUUCCAUCAACCACCGCUCGCUGGGUCCGAGCGCGGAGCCAGUUCCCCAGCCAUCGCACUGUGGAGUAGUCGAGGCCGCAGUUGUCCAAUUUUUCCAUGAGGACAUCAUGGGACACCAGGUCAAAGGCUUUUUUCAAGUCCAAAUAUAUGACAUCAACCGCUUCCCUUUUGUCCAGGUGAUACAUCACCUGGUCAUAGAAGGAAAUGAGAUUGGUCAAGCAAGACCUACCCACAACAAACCCGUGCCGGCUGUCCCUCAGGAUGCUGCCUCCUGUUAGCCUGUCAAGAAUGGUUUCUUUGAUAAUUUUUUCCAAAAUCUUCCAGGGAUUUAAGCCAAACUGAUUGGCCUGUAGUUUCCUGGGUCUUCUUUCCUCCCUUUCUUGAAGAUGAGCACCACAUUGGCCCUCUUCCAAUUUUCAGGUACUUCACCCGAGCGCCACGAGUUCUCGAAUAUUCUCGCCACUGGCUGUGCUAUAAUGUCUGCCAGUUCCUUUAGCACUCUUGGGUGCAGCCUAUCUGGACCAGCUGAUUUAUGGGGGUCCCACCUCUCAAGAUACUACCUCACAAGAUCCACGCCAGUGGUGGGCAUCUGUUCAUCUUCACUCCGGUCAUCCGGCAUCCUGUUCGGCAGGCUGGUCCCUUUGGGCUGAUGAAAAACCGAUGCAAAGUCAUCAUAAAGCAGAUUGGCUGGGUGUCGGUAGUCAGCUGCCCCAGCUGGUUUAGCAGGGUCCAAUGUUGCCCUUGUUUUCUUUCAACUCCCCACAUAUCUGAAAAAGGACUUUCUAUUGUCCUUGAUUCGUGUACCCAGAUGAAGUUCAGUUGCAGCCUUGGCUUUUGUAGUUCGCUGCCUGCAGGUGUGGAGCAGCGCAGUAUACUUCUCCUUAGUGGUGUUUCCCAUCUUCCAUCCUUUAUACGCCUCUCUUUUUAGACAUAGGAGGUCCAUGAGUUCCCUGUUGAGCCAAGGGGUUGUUGAGCCCUUUUACCAUCUUUCCUACGGGUGGGGAUGGACUCCCCUUGUGCUUCUAGGAUCACGUCCUUAGGGAGCAAUCACGCAUCAUGAACUCCCCUCCCUGUGAAAUCAUGGCCUUUCAGGGUGUCAAGAACAAGCCUCCUGACCUUAUGGAAGUCAGCUUUCCUAAAGUCGAGGGCGACUGCGUUGCUGGCUGACUUGCCAGCUUUGCGAUGGAUAGUGAAAGCGUUCAGCUCGUGGUCACCGUCACCCAGCUUCCUUCGACUCUUAGGGCACUGAUUAAAUCGUCCCUUUGGCCAGUGCCAUGUCCAGCAGCACCUUGCCCCUUGUCAGCCCGUAAACUUCUUGGGACAGGUAGAGCUCAUCCAUGCAUGCAAAGAAGCUUUGUGACCGAUCGGAUUUGGCCGAGCGCUCAUCCCACGAGAUGUCCAAGUAGUUGAAGUCUCCCAUGAUAACCAUGCGCUGGGAGCGUGCAGCCUCGGCCAGUUCCCUAGCGAAUUCUUGGUCAAGCUCUUGUUCCUAGUUUGGAGGUCUGCAGUAGACUCCUACCAUUGUGUCCUUCCAGACGCUGCCCUUUUCAGACCUGCAAAACACCAGGCAGGGGAAAUCACAGUUGUAUAGAGAGAUUUUAAGGUAUCCUGUUGAGCAAAGUAAGCAUUGCAGACCUUUUAAUGUUCAACCCAUGUUGACAGACAACAUUUUUGCUGCAUUUCUCUUUUGCAUUUGCUCUGCAAAUAUUCCAGGAAAUGAGUUUAUUGACACUGUCCCAGACAGAACAUGUCUUAACUGAAAAUCAAGAAAAUGAGUGUUUAAAUUCUUCAUUGAAAAGACAAGCUCUGGAAAUCCCAUCCUAAGGGCCUGUCUGCACAAAGUAGCAGCUCUCAUGUGAAUUUAAUUUGAUUUAAUUAAGCCAGUGUAAAUCCCUGGUCAAGGCUUAAGUUUGAGAGGGGCUUUCACUGUGGUUUAGUCUGUGCCAGACAGGAACAGGUUGAAACAGAAACAAAGCAAACCAGAACAGCCUUCCUCCUGCCUAACCCUCCCACCGCCCUCAGAAGAGAGCAAAGCCCAAACCCCAAACGUGCGGUGCCCACAGAGGGCUGGUUGGACGGGUGUAGCUUAAGUGCCUAUUAAAUGUGUUACCAUUUUGGUUAAUAAGAAAAACAAGAAGGUCAUACCAAGGCAACUUUCUUUGACGUAGCCCUAAAAGUAGCCCUGUCCCACACAGGGAACAGAUCAGACUGUGGGGCCCACGUAUGCUAGCACGGGUCAGCCUGAGACCAGACUUGCUCCCUGUCUAGGUGUGUUCGGGUCGGGAGUCUUGAUUCUGGCACAUGCUACCCGGCAGCCUCUAGCAAAGAGCACUCACUGCAAAGCUACAGCCCUGCUCGUUACUACCGUUUAUUCAAUUUCCUCGUGUAUUUACUGUUUAAUCCAAUUAUACACAAAUUGAGAUAGCUAGGAAGGCAGGACUUUGAGGAAAUUAUUAAAAGCCUACAAAAAUAAUGAUAGGCUUGCAUCCUGAACAGUGCAGAAGAGAGUUUGUAUUAUUGUCACAUUAUCACUGGACAGGGAGCGGCAGCCUGUGGAAGGAAAGGACCAUGGACUAGCUGACUGAUCACGCUGCCAAUAACUUUAGACUUUUAAGCCCAGCUGUUGCACUGGCUCACUCUGUGACCUUACACACCUGUCUUGCACUGAGUGUAUUUCGAUACAGGCCCCUUAUGACUGGUGCAUGCCGUAGUCCUCCAAGUGACGUGUGCAUCUCCCAUGCUGCGCUGCAGUGUGAAGCUGAGCCACAGUACGAGCUGUGAAGGAUCCAGGGAGGAGCUGCAUUCGCCCAGCCGGGAAUCCUGCUCUGCACUGGGGUUUUCUGGAGUCGCACCGCUGGGCACGGCUUCGUAGCAGCAGGGCUGGGCUGCGGCUCCGCUGUUCUGGGCCGCAGAGGAGCACGUAGGUGGCAGUGAGACUGAAGCCUGUUCAGACGUGCUGAGGGCCAGGCAUUCCCCAGCUGGGCCCAGGACUUUAAACCCCUGUUCUCUUCCCCUGCAUAGCUGUCCCUCCUGAACUGUACCUGAAGAAAGGCAUAAUGUACAGUCUAGAAGAUACUGGGGUGCAAGAUGCACGCAGCUUGACUAGAAGCCCCUGGCCUAGAUGCAGAAAUUAGAGAAGUAUUUCUAAAGCUUGUGCAAAAACUUGUGUUAACUUCUACCUGUCCCCUCGUGCCCGGGUCUUGUCCAGCAGGCUUUGCCGUCACAGAGCACCCCUGCCCACUGCUGCUUUAGUUUGAAUUGCCUGUGUCUCCUGUAACUCAGCCUGGUCAGGUUUAGUACCUUCCGGGGUAUCCGCUGUCCAAAAAAAUUCCAAAUGAAGCAAAUUUGCAUCCAAGUAAGCACUGUCCAGCACCCCUGUCUGAAUGCUCUCCCCCCCCCAGCCCUGAGCUCCUCUCUUCUUUCACAGGCACUGGCUGCGGCUCCACAAUCUCCUAGCCACCUUGGAAAGGAAAGUGAAGUCCUUUGCAGGUACCCUGCUGCCUUACUUACUGGCCCAUCUCCUGGAGCAGCCCUGAGGCAUAACUGAGCCCUCUGGUUUCGUUAACCCUUCUCUGCCAGUGUGGCAUUGAGAUGCCCAGGUACACGGUGAUAUAAAGAAGCUCACACUAGAUGAUCAUAGGGCUCCCUUGCUAUCUGAUCGUCUAUUAAUUCACAACUGCUUUGGAAUCGAUAGAUUUAAUCCAUGUGGAAACCAUAAUUUGUAAGUUGGAUAAGCAACAUGAUAACUAACAUACUUCUACUGGGAACAAGGAUGGGUAGAAGCAGGAUACAGGAAGCGUCCCCUGCAGUGGAAUAAGGAUGAACUUGUGUUGGUGUUGCUGCUUAUAAGGUGCUGAAGCUUCACUCAACCCUUCAGUGCAACAGCAUGAUAUGCUCAGAAAGCAGCUGGGCACUGGCAGCCAGCACUGCAACUUGCUGCCCAUCAGACUGUGCAUCAGAUCAAACCAAAUAGACAUUCUGGAAAGGGCUUGCAGGCUGCACCAGGCCCAUAUUGCAGGUGUGGUGAUUUUCAUUCUUUGUGGUUACUGGAAGAUAAAGCUCACAGUUCAGUGGGGUUGUCAACUGUUCCAGGCUCCACCAGCAUCCUUCAGUAGCAAGCUAAAAGAAGGACCAGCUGACCUUGAACACGUGCUAAUAGAUUUCUAUUUAAACAAUUGCUGAAGUAACUGUGGGGUGCAUAAAGUGCACAAUUGCAGAAAUCUGUAGACAAAGAACAAUUCUGUCUUCCUCUGUGAAAACAAGGAUGUUUUCUUCUAAUGGUCAUGCUCAGUGAGUCUCCACUAGCUGCGGACACACAAUUACUUUUGAUGCAAGCUCAGAUCGAGGUCCAGUUGGGCUGAGAUUAAGGUUCAGUUUUGAAACCAAACAAAGGCUUAGCUUGAACCAUUUCUGAAACAAGGAUUUUAAGUUAAGGUGAUUCACUGUAAGUGAAGAGGUACAUGUUGAAAGACAUGGCCAGGCUGAGGUGACUGGCUUCUCUGUGCAAGUAUAGUUAAAAUGAUAUAAUGAGAGAGAGCUAAGAUGGGUGUUUACAAGUCCUAUUGAAUAGGCUUAAUAACAUGAAGCUAAGCUGCCCUGACAAUAAAACUUUGAUAUUGUUAACAGGAAUUAAUCCGUGUUAUUUAUAGGUGCUUAGAAUAUAUUGUAUAGGUUCCUGUAAUUCAUUAAACUUCCUUCUCCAUCUCAUAGUGGCCAUUUCUCAUAUACACACAACCAUUAAUAACUUAUCCAGAGGAGAUAAUUACCAGGCAAAAAUAUUGCCUAAGCAUUUUUAUGUGACGUGCAUAUGCAUGACAGGGUUUAGAUGACACAAUAACAACGUUUUUAUGAAGAUAAUAGAUUUUGCCUUGUAAAACUCAUUACAAUUAGCUGUCUGUCUGAUUCUGUAUCACAGAAGAAGCAUCUGGCAAUAGGAUCUUUUCCAUUUCAGCAGUGGUCCCUGGCAAGAACAGGCUGUGAUUUCCUUAGUCAUAUGGAAUAGCAUCUUAGGGUAUAGACAGAGAUAAUCAUUAUCUUGAUAUCAAAUGAUACACAUAUAAGCUCUUCUAAUGCAAGUAUUAUAGCUGUGUUCUACAGUGAUACAAGGAUAGCUAAAUUGUCGCAACUUUAAUCCUAUUUCUUUUGGUGUUAAAGUUAAAGUGAUAUAGUUAACUUGGGUGACCUUGGGACAGGGACGUGAUGAAUUCAAUAUGGGCAAAUGGAGGUUGCCUCUAACUAAAACAUACCGUCGGUACUUUGAAAGAGCUAAUGUCCCAAAGUUGGCAAAAAUUAUUAAUGAAAUGGAUAAGAAUAAAAAUGUACUCCAAAAAUUUUGAAUAGAAAUUAAACAUUUUUCAUGAAGCUCAUUAGCCAGCCAAAAUGUCCUGCUUUCACAAGUAAGAAAGAGGACAACUUCAGGUCUGGGUCAAUGGGGAAAUGAAGGCAGCAGUUACAAAUAAUAAUGUUUAGAGUAUGGUUGUAUGGGAUGUUUUGGAUGGGAAGAAUCCUGCCUCAGGCAGGGGUUGGACUACAUGACCUCUGGAGGUCCCUUCCAGCCCCACUUCUCUACGAGUCUAUGAUAUAAAAGGAGAAAUGAAGAAAAGGGAAGAAGCGAACAGUCAAUAUACAUAAAAAAUUACAUAGAGUGAAAAUUGUGAACAAUUAACUACAUUAGAGUAAAACCCAGGGCUGGUCAGGAAAGCUAAAGACAAUAGUUUGUAAGGAAAUCAAAAUCAUACUAUAGCUAUAUUCCUAUGCAAUGAUGAAGUAACAGGGUAGUCUGGCCCUUUACGGGAGGCAGACCGCCCCGGGAUAGAGGUUUGCUUUACUUGCUUAUGUGUUCGGACCAGGUAUUAUUGUUUCGUGUUAUGAGGACUGGUGGAGGGGCUCCCGAGGAAGCGAGACCAGACAGUGGGGCUGCAGGCACCCAGCCUGCCCGCAGGCUAUUGUUCGAACGUUUGCAAUGACAUAGAAAAGGCAGAGUCAAGAGCAACCUCCUGCAAGUACCAUCAAAGAGCCAAGUGUGCUUGGGAAAGACGUGAGGAUGGUUGUUCUCAGCGGUUGCUCUUCAGCUCUGCAACCCCGCUCUCCCCCAUCCCGCUGGAGGCCUACCACAGCCCAAGCCUGCGCAUCCUCCAAAAGCACUGCGACACCUUCCUGCUCAGGUGGGUGCUCAGCAAGCCAGGCUAGGCUGGGAUAUUGUUCAGGGAGUUUUUUUUCUCUUUUGUUUGGAUAAUCUACUUGUCUUUAUAAAUUAAUUUGUCCCUUACUAUAAGCUACCCAGAGCUUUUGUUGGGGAAGGCAGCAUGUAAAUCUAAUAAGUAAAUAAAUGUGCUCCAAACGA
Alligator mississippiensis (American alligator) is the source of this 8360-nucleotide long non-coding RNA. RefSeq lists it as uncharacterized. The transcript is spliced from 2 exons. NCBI's taxonomy places the organism in Eukaryota, Metazoa, Chordata, Crocodylia, Alligatoridae. The record is from RefSeq and is a predicted model, not a curated record.